Molecule: ribosomal RNA, 1239 nt
Filed under: Mulberry dwarf phytoplasma
Lineage: Bacteria; Bacillati; Mycoplasmatota; Mollicutes; Acholeplasmatales; Acholeplasmataceae
Description: bacterial SSU rRNA
Rfam family: Bacterial small subunit ribosomal RNA
Source: RNAcentral
GAAACGACUGCUAAGACUGGAUAGGAGACAAGAAGGCAUCUUCUUGUUUUUAAAAGACCUAGCAAUAGGUAUGCUUAGGGAGGAGCUUGCGUCACAUUAGUUAGUUGGUGGGGUAAAGGCCUACCAAGACUAUGAUGUGUAGCCGGGCUGAGAGGUUGAACGGCCACAUUGGGACUGAGACACGGCCCAAACUCCUACGGGAGGCAGCAGUAGGGAAUUUUCGGCAAUGGAGGAAACUCUGACCGAGCAACGCCGCGUGAACGAUGAAGUAUUUCGGUACGUAAAGUUCUUUUAUUAGGGAAGAAUAAAUGAUGGAAAAAUCAUUCUGACGGUACCUAAUGAAUAAGCCCCGGCUAACUAUGUGCCAGCAGCCGCGGUAAUACAUAGGGGGCAAGCGUUAUCCGGAAUUAUUGGGCGUAAAGGGUGCGUAGGCGGUUAAAUAAGUUUAUGGUCUAAGUGCAAUGCUCAACAUUGUGAUGCUAUAAAAACUGUUUAGCUAGAGUAAGAUAGAGGCAAGUGGAAUUCCAUGUGUAGUGGUAAAAUGCGUAAAUAUAUGGAGGAACACCAGUAGCGAAGGCGGCUUGCUGGGUCUUUACUGACGCUGAGGCACGAAAGCGUGGGGAGCAAACAGGAUUAGAUACCCUGGUAGUCCACGCCGUAAACGAUGAGUACUAAACGUUGGGUAAAACCAGUGUUGAAGUUAACACAUUAAGUACUCCGCCUGAGUAGUACGUACGCAAGUAUGAAACUUAAAGGAAUUGACGGGACUCCGCACAAGCGGUGGAUCAUGUUGUUUAAUUCGAAGGUACCCGAAAAACCUCACCAGGUCUUGACAUGCUUCUGCAAAGCUGUAGAAACACAGUGGAGGUUAUCAGUUGCACAGGUGGUGCAUGGUUGUCGUCAGCUCGUGUCGUGAGAUGUUGGGUUAAGUCCCGCAACGAGCGCAACCCUUAUUGUUAGUUACCAGCACGUAAUGGUGGGGACUUUAGCAAGACUGCCAGUGAUAAAUUGGAGGAAGGUGGGGACGACGUCAAAUCAUCAUGCCCCUUAUGACCUGGGCUACAAACGUGAUACAAUGGCUGUUACAAAGGGUAGCUGAAGCGCAAGUUUUUGGCGAAUCUCAAAAAAAUAGUCUCAGUUCGGAUUGAAGUCUGCAACUCGACUUCAUGAAGUUGGAAUCGCUAGUAAUCGCGAAUCAGCAUGUCGCGGUGAAUACGUUCGCGGGGUUUGUACACACCG